Molecule: ribosomal RNA, 536 nt
Filed under: uncultured marine bacterium
Lineage: Bacteria
Description: bacterial SSU rRNA
Rfam family: Bacterial small subunit ribosomal RNA
Source: RNAcentral
UGAUGCAGCCUGCCGCGUGUGUGAGAGGCCUUCGGGUUGUAAAGCACUUUCUUAGGGAGGAAAAGUUGUAAGUUAAUACCUUGCAACCGUGACGUUACCUAUAGAAAAAGGACCGGCUAACUCCGUGCCCCCAGCCGCGGUAAUACGGAGGGUCCGAGCGUUAAUCGGAAUUACUGGGCGUAAAGCGCGCGUAGGCGGAUAGAUAAAUCAGAUGUGAAAUCCCCGGGCUCAACCUGGGAACUGCAUUUGAUACUGUCUAUCUUGAGUGUGGUAGAGGUGAGUGGAAUUUCAAGUGUAGCGGUGAAAUGCGUAUAGAUCUGAAAGAACAUCAGUGGCGAAGGCGACUCACUGGGCCAUUACUGACGCUGAGGUGCGAAGGCGUGGGUAGCAAACAGGAUUACAUACCCUGGUAGUCCACGCCCUAAACGAUGUCAACUAGGUGUAUGGAAUGAAUUUUCUGUGUAUCGAAGCUAACGCGAUAAGUUGACCGCCUGGGGAGUACGGUCGCAAGACUAAAACUCAAAGGAAUUUGACGG